GAUGAACGCUGGCGGCGUGCCCAAUACAUGCAAGUCGAGCGAACAGACGAGGAGCUUGCUCCUCUGACGUUAGCGGCGGACGGGUGAGUAACACGUGGAUAACCUACCUAUAAGACUGGGAUAACUUCGGGAAACCGGAGCUAAUACCGGAUAAUAUAUUGAACCGCAUGGUUCAAUAGUGAAAGACGGUUUUGCUGUCACUUAUAGAUGGAUCCGCGCCGCAUUAGCUAGUUGGUAAGGUAACGGCUUACCAAGGCAACGAUGCGUAGCCGACCUGAGAGGGUGAUCGGCCACACUGGAACUGAGACACGGUCCAGACUCCUACGGGAGGCAGCAGUAGGGAAUCUUCCGCAAUGGGCGAAAGCCUGACGGAGCAACGCCGCGUGAGUGAUGAAGGUCUUCGGAUCGUAAAACUCUGUUAUUAGGGAAGAACAAAUGUGUAAGUAACUAUGCACGUCUUGACGGUACCUAAUCAGAAAGCCACGGCUAACUACGUA
Molecule: ribosomal RNA, 497 nt
Filed under: uncultured bacterium
Lineage: Bacteria
Description: partial 16S ribosomal RNA
Rfam family: Bacterial small subunit ribosomal RNA
Source: RNAcentral